GGGCCGGAAGCUUAAGUGGUAUAAGCCGUCGACUCAUAAUCGACUGAUAGUGGGUUCGAGUCCCACCCGGUCCACCA
Molecule: transfer RNA, 77 nt
Filed under: compost metagenome
Description: tRNA-Met
Rfam family: tRNA
About the family: Transfer RNA (tRNA) molecules are approximately 80 nucleotides in length. Their secondary structure includes four short double-helical elements and three loops (D, anti-codon, and T loops).
Source: RNAcentral